AGGACGAACGCUGGCGGCGUGCUUAACACAUGCAAGUCGAACGAUGAAGCGCCUUCGGGUGUGGAUUAGUGGCGAACGGGUGAGUAACACGUGGGUAAUCUGCCUUGCACUCUGGGAUAAGCUUGGGAAACUGGGUCUAAUACCGGAUAUGACUAUGUCACGCAUGUGGUGUGGUGGUAAAGUUUUGGCGGUGUGAGAGUCGAACCCGCGGCCUAUCAGCUUGUUGGUGGGUGAUGGCCUACCGAGGCGACGGACGGGUA
RNAcentral lists this ribosomal RNA (260 nucleotides) under uncultured bacterium. Its description in RNAcentral is "partial small subunit ribosomal RNA". It matches the Rfam family "Bacterial small subunit ribosomal RNA", at positions 26 to 285 of the family's 1533-position model. The record is from RNAcentral.